This 468-nucleotide ribosomal RNA is filed under the name uncultured bacterium. Its description in RNAcentral is "partial 16S ribosomal RNA". It matches the Rfam family "Bacterial small subunit ribosomal RNA", at positions 28 to 507 of the family's 1533-position model. The record is from RNAcentral.
GACGAACGCUGGCGGCGUGCUUAACACAUGCAAGUCGAACGGAAAGGCCCUGCUUUUGUGGGUUUCUCGAGUGGCGAACGGGGGAGAAAAACGUGAGUAACCUCCCCUUGUAUUAGUGAUAACUCCAGGAAACUGGGGCUAAAACAGCAUAGAAGCUAUUGCACCGUGUUGGGGGUUGGAAAGUUUCGGCGGUGGGGGAUAGACUCGCGGGUUACCCGCUGGUUGGGGAGGUAGUUGCUUACCAAGCUUUUGACGGGUAGGCGGCCUGGGCGGGUUGCCGGGCACAAGGGGACUGAGGUACGGCCCAGAAGCGUACGGGACGCAGCAGGGGAGAAUAUGGCACAGUGAGCGCGAGCGUGAUGUAGCAGCGCCGCGUGCGUGAUGAUGGCCUUCGGGGGGUAAACCGCUGUCGACGGUGACGAAGCGGGAGUGACGGUAAUGGGUAAAGAAGCACCGGCUAACUACGUG